GACGAACGCUGGCGGUGUGCUUAACACAUGCAAGUCGAACGGUAAGGCCCUUUCGGGGGUACACGCGUGGCGGACGGGUGGGUAAGACGUACGUGAGUUGCCCUCCUCUGUGGGUUAAAAAACGUCAAGGGACUGUGGCUAUGACUGUGUACUUGCUCGUCCUCCAUGGGGUUGGAUGGAUUUUUUUUGGUUGGGGAUGGACUCGCGGCCUAUCAGCUUGUUGGUGUGGGAGUGGCUCACCAAGACUUCGACGGGUAGCCGGCCUGAGAGGGCGACCGGCCACAUUGGGACUGAGAUACGGCCCAAACUCCUACGGGAGGCAGCAGUGGGGAAUAUUGCACAAUGGACGGAAGUCUGAUGCAGCAACGCCGCGUGCGGGAUGACGGCCUUCGGGUUGUAAACCGCUUUCAAUUGUGACGAAGCUUUUUUGUGACGGUAGCAGUAGAAGAAGCACCGGCUAACUACGUG
Molecule: ribosomal RNA, 468 nt
Filed under: uncultured bacterium
Lineage: Bacteria
Description: partial 16S ribosomal RNA
Rfam family: Bacterial small subunit ribosomal RNA
Source: RNAcentral